GAUGUAUUCAACGACGCGAGACACUUAACAUACAAAACAAAAGAGUAGAUAUUAAAAACAAAGCAAACUACAGAAAAUAGUAACAAUUAAUAAGGAUAAAUAUCGCAAGAACGUUAAAAAUCAACUAUUACUAUUUAAUCAUCCUUUCAGUGCGUGAAAUAGUCACCUUGUCACCUUUAGACUCGGCGAGCAUUGAAUAGCAUUGAGAUCCGACAAACAUUCGACUUUAUGCCGAGUACCAUCUUGAGCUAUGAUAUAUAUAAAGCCAUCCCGUGUCCAGCAUUUGUCAAUACCGAAACGAGAUCUUGCUUCAAAGAAGACAUCAUGCCUACUUUUUGUUAAAAAUUCCGAUUGCGUGACUCCAGUUCCUUUAAAUUUUGUUUUGGCGAACUAUAUUUUAUCUCGCAUCGUGACGUCACAAAACUUGACUACAAUAGGUCUAGACUUCUUAUCAUUAAAGCGACCUAAGCGGUAGGAAUUUUUUAUACAUGUACUUGAAAAAUUCGGCAGAAGUAGAUGUUGAACUACGAGACCAGUGACGCGGGAUGUUGUUUCCUCCGACUUCGCUUCUGGUACUCCAUGUAAAAGAAGCAUUCUUCGUCUUCUACGCAUUUCCUGACGAUCCAUCUGUUAAAUGCAGAAAUAAUAAAUGACUUAAAGGUCGUGAAUUCUGAAGCCAGAGAAGAAGUUGUAGUAGGCUGUUCAUUUAUCGCUGCAAAUCCUUCACCAAAUACCAAUCUUUACCGCUCAUGGUUUAUUCAAACUGGACUAUAUGAUGAUGUUGGAAGGUGCACGUUCUGUGACUACUUUUCUAGUGAUUCUGCUGCAGUUUGUUAC
Long non-coding RNA from Nymphalis io (European peacock), 837 nucleotides. RefSeq lists it as uncharacterized. NCBI's taxonomy places the organism in Eukaryota, Metazoa, Arthropoda, Insecta, Lepidoptera, Nymphalidae. The transcript has 3 exons. The record is from RefSeq and is a predicted model, not a curated record.